Long non-coding RNA from Rhincodon typus (whale shark), 273 nucleotides. RefSeq lists it as uncharacterized. The record is from RefSeq and is a predicted model, not a curated record. NCBI's taxonomy places the organism in Eukaryota, Metazoa, Chordata, Chondrichthyes, Orectolobiformes, Rhincodontidae. The transcript is spliced from 3 exons.
CUCCUUUACCAACAUGGCGCCGCACGGCUUCCGUCGAGGAUCACGUGAUCGCACAUAUAGGAAGUGACGUGACGGCAGCUAGUUCGGGAAGAUGUCGCGGGCGGGCAAGAGUGCUGUUGUCUUGUGCUGGGAUGUGGGCUGUACAACAAACAAUAUGUCUCUGGAGGAGGACAGUGCCUUUGAACAAGCAAAGAAAGUUUUGCUGAUGUUUGUUCAACGUCAGCAGGCAGAGAAGAUGCGGUUGAGUGAGGGAGCCAUGGUUCUCGAGAGAGG